CACGGCGCUGCCCGCCAAGAGGGCCGAGUACUUUGACUCGUCGGAGCCCGUCCAGAACCGCGUCUACAAGUCCCUCAAGGUCUGGUCCAUGCUGGCCGACUUGGAGGAGAGCCUGGGCACCUUCAAGUCCACCAAGGCCGUGUACGACCGCAUCCUGGACCUGCGCAUCGCCACCCCCCAGAUCGUCAUCAACUACGCGCUCUUCCUCGAGGAGCACGGCUACUUCGAGGAGAGCUUCAAGGCCUACGAGCGGGGCAUCGCGCUCUUCC
Struthio camelus australis is the source of this 269-nucleotide non-coding RNA. The record is from RefSeq and is a predicted model, not a curated record. Lineage: Eukaryota; Metazoa; Chordata; Aves; Struthioniformes; Struthionidae.